Molecule: ribosomal RNA, 497 nt
Filed under: uncultured bacterium
Lineage: Bacteria
Description: partial 16S ribosomal RNA
Rfam family: Bacterial small subunit ribosomal RNA
Source: RNAcentral
GAUGAACGCUGGCGGCGUGCCUAAUACAUGCCAGUCGAGCGAACGGACGAGAAGCUUGCUUCUCUGAUGUUAGCGGCGGACGGGUGAGUAACACGUGGAUAACCUACCUAUAAGACUGGGAUAACUGCGGGAAACCGGAGCUAGUACCGGAUAAUAUUUUGAACCGCAUGGUUCAAAAGUGAAAGACGGUCUUGCUGUCACUUAUAGAUGGAUCCGCGCUGCAUUAGCUAGUUGGUAAGGUAACGGCUUACCAAGGCAACGAUGCAUAGCCGACCUGAGAGGGUGAUCGGCCACACUGGAACUGAGACACGGUCCAGACUCCUACGGGAGGCAGCAGUAGGGAAUCUUCCGCAAUGGGCGAAAGCCUGACGGAGCAACGCCGCGUGAGUGAUGAAGGUCUUCGGAUCGUAAAACUCUGUUAUUAGGGAAGAACAUAUGUGUAAGUAACUGUGCACAUCUUGACGGUACCUAAUCAGAAAGCCACGGCUAACUACGUG